Molecule: ribosomal RNA, 253 nt
Filed under: uncultured bacterium
Lineage: Bacteria
Description: partial 16S ribosomal RNA
Rfam family: Bacterial small subunit ribosomal RNA
Source: RNAcentral
UACGAAGGGGGCUAGCGUUGUUCGGAAUUACUGGGCGUAAAGCGCACGUAGGCGGAUUGUUAAGUUAGGGGUGAAAUCCCAGGGCUCAACCCUGGAACUGCCUUUAAUACUGGCAAUCUCGAGUCCGAGAGAGGUGAGUGGAAUUCCGAGUGUAGAGGUGAAAUUCGUAGAUAUUCGGAGGAACACCAGUGGCGAAGGCGGCUCGCUGGGUCGGUACUGACGCUGAGGUGCGAAAGCGUGGGGAGCGAACAGG